UGGAGGCCGGUGGUGGUGGCCGGCGGCUGUGGCGUGGCGGCGGCGGUGGUGGCCGGCAGUGGUCCUGGUGGUGGUGGCGGCUGCCACUUUUAUUUUUUUUUCGAAAAAUAUGUUUGCCGAGUGUUUUGUUGUCACUCGGCGAAAGCUUCGCCGAGUGCACGACAUAGAACACUCGGCAAAGCUAACUUUGCCGACUCAAAAUUUACCGUGUGUCGUUUGCCGAGUGUUACACUCGGCAAACGUUUCGCCGAGGGUUUUUGGGUCUUCGCCGAGUGCCCCAGGCACUCGGCGAACUGUCUGUUUCCCGUAGUG
Molecule: long non-coding RNA, 312 nt
Filed under: Setaria italica (foxtail millet)
Lineage: Eukaryota; Viridiplantae; Streptophyta; Magnoliopsida; Poales; Poaceae
Description: long non-coding RNA (SITA_LNC004562)
Source: RNAcentral